This is a long non-coding RNA of Chelonia mydas (Green sea turtle), 529 nucleotides long. RefSeq lists it as uncharacterized. Lineage: Eukaryota; Metazoa; Chordata; Testudines; Cheloniidae. The transcript has 2 exons. The record is from RefSeq and is a predicted model, not a curated record.
AUCAUCGGGUAGGGGACUUGGAUUACCUGAAUCAACAAGGCAGAGCAGGGAGUUACCUGACAAAGGAAACUGGAAGCUAUAAAAGAAAGGGUCUCUCACUAGCCAUUAGAGAGAGAGACUGAGAUCCUGACCCAGACUCCAGGACAGGGAGAGAAGCCAUCUGCAGGAGGGCAGCAGGAGAGGAAGGGUUCUGGAUUCCUUAAAAGACUCUGAUCUAAGCCUAAAGAGUGUUCAAGAGUGGUGAGGAAACUGAGGCAGGGAAAUGUGCACAGGAAAUUUCAACUGGGUCUGGGAUCCUUGGAUUGCCUCUGCAAUGGAAAAUGCUGAGAAUCUUACAAUAAUGACUCAAGAGCAACUUGCCGAAUUAAGGAUGGGACACUCUUUUAAAAUUAAGUUGGUGACAUGCUUUUGGACUCAUUCUGGUUGACAGUGGCAUACAAAUCGUACAGUCUGAGAAUGCUGUGUAUCUCUAUUUUGUUGUCAUUUUCAACAUGUACCUGUGCAAGUUAAGUUUUUUUUCAAGCCCAAC